CAGUCGCCACGGUAAUACAGAGGGUGCGAGCGUUAAUCGGAUUUACUGGGCGUAAAGCGUGCGUAGGCGGCUUCUUAAGUCGGAUGUGAAAUCCCUGAGCUUAACUUAGGAAUUGCAUUCGAUACUGGGAAGCUAGAGUAUGGGAGAGGAUGGUAGAAUUCCAGGUGUAGCGGUGAAAUGCGUAGAGAUCUGGAGGAAUACCGAUGGCGAAGGCAGCCAUCUGGCCUAAUACUGACGCUGAGGUACGAAAGCAUGGGGAGCAAACAGGAUUAGAUACCCGUGUAGUCCCUGUCUCUUAUAU
RNAcentral lists this ribosomal RNA (301 nucleotides) under uncultured bacterium. RNAcentral describes it as "partial 16S ribosomal RNA". It matches the Rfam family "Bacterial small subunit ribosomal RNA", at positions 509 to 809 of the family's 1533-position model. The record is from RNAcentral.